This 240-nucleotide unclassified non-coding RNA is filed under the name soil metagenome. RNAcentral describes it as "partial contains 5.8S ribosomal RNA, internal transcribed spacer 2, and large subunit ribosomal RNA". The record is from RNAcentral.
AACACUGUUAACCUGCGGUACCUGCGGAGGGAUCAUUAUAGUAUAUGGAAUCUCCAUUCUAUAAACCCACUCUGCGUAUCUUGUAACUGUUGCUUCCAUGGGACUUGGUUCCGCCACACCGGCUUCACGGCUGGUGAGCGCCCAUGGAAGGAGAAACAAAACUCUUCUUUGAAAUGUAGUCAGUCUGAACAAGUUUUUAUAAACGUUAAAACUUUCAACAAUGGAUCUCAGAUCGGAAGA